RNAcentral lists this long non-coding RNA (1247 nucleotides) under Drosophila melanogaster (fruit fly). RNAcentral's name for it is "Su(Ste):CR42431 (Dmel_CR42431)". Lineage: Eukaryota; Metazoa; Arthropoda; Insecta; Diptera; Drosophilidae. The record is from RNAcentral.
GUCCUGUCAACCCUUUUAGCAAGUGUCAAAAACUCAAAGAAAAAGACGAUGACUUUGAAGUCUACAAGUCAUAUUUCUGUGAACGAGUGAACUGGCAACAUGUCGAGCCUGUAAGUAACUAGGUUUUUCCUAUAGAAAUUAUAGCAAGUCACAGUAAAAUCUUGAACACAGAACAACAACAACAACAGCAGCUGGAUCAAUUGGUUCCUCGGAAUCAAGGGCAACGAGUUCCUCUGCCACGUGCCCACCAACUACUUUCAGGACACGUUCAACCAGAUGGGCCUGGAGUACUUCAGCCAGCACUGGACGUGAUCCUGAAGCCGGCGUUCGACAGUUCCUCGGGCUUGUUCUACGACGAUGAGAAAAAGUGGUACGGCAUGAUUCACGCCCGAUACAUCAGGUCGGAGCGUGGCGUGAAUGAUAUGCACCGAAACUAUAUGAGAGGAGACUUUGAAUCGUGUCCGAAUAUCUCCUGUAAUAGGAAGAACACCCUGCCAGUGGGCCUCAGCGAUGUGUGGGGCAAGUCAACGGUGAAGAUCUACUGCCCACGCUGUAAAAACUACUUCCAUCCUAAAACUGAUACACAGCCAUGUUCGAGCCCAGCUUCCCGGACAUCUUCUUAACGCAGCUGCCGAACUUGAGACCGCCCCUGGACGACCCACGGUAAGUAAUUCUCCGAAUAUAGUCCUGGUUGUUUUCUAAACAAAGCGCUUGAACUUGCAGUCCCUAUGCUUUCGGUUGCACCAGAAGGCCUUGAUGCCACUUAAAUCGCCCAAGUCCUCACCAAAGAAAAUCGGAUCCUCGGCCAGCUAGUCCUCCUCCUCGCCCCGGCAUUCCGAAGUCAAGCGCUUCAAUGUUCUUCUAGGGAUGACGUGAUUUUUUAACUCCACACAAAAGAAAGCAGAAAUGUUUGUCCGAUAUAUUGUUGUUGCAAUUAAACAGAUUCCGCAGUGCGUUGAUAUGGCCAGCUACCACCUACUAAUAUACCUCAUACACCUCUCCUCUAAAUACUUGGUUCAAAGUGUUCGGUCCAAGCUGGUCAUAUAAAGCACUCAUUCGAGUAGCAAAGCAUACUUUUCGUUAAUAGUGGUAAUCACCUGGGUAUAAUAAUAAUAUUAAUCAAUAAAACAUUCAAUUCAGUUUUUUAUUUAAUUUUAUGUUAAAAGAGUUUCCAAAAGUGUUUUCCUGACUACAUCAAAUACUUUUUGAUAAUUUAAUUUCUUUAAAUUCUUUAAAUAUACAAAUUC